AAGCAUAUCAAUAAGCGGAGGAAAAGAAACCAACAGGGAUUGCCCCAGUAACUGCGAGUGAAGCGGCAAAAGCUCAAAUUUGAAAUCUGGCGCCUUUGGCGUCCGAGUUGUAAUUUGGAGAGACAUCUUCGGGGAUGGCAUACUGUCCUAAGUUCCUUGGAACAGGACGUCACAGAGGGUGAGAAUCCCGUGCCUGGAUGGUUGUCCAUCCCCAUUGUGAAGGGUCUUCGACGAGUCGAGUUGUUUGGGAAUGCAGCUCAAAAUGGGUGGUAAACGUCAUCUAAAGCUAAAUAUUGGCGAGAGACCGAUAGCGCACAAGUAGAGUGAUCGAAAGAUGAAAAGCACUUUGAAAAGAGAGUAAAAUAGUACGUGAAAUUGUUGAAAGGGAAGCGCUUGAGACCAGACACGGUCCGUGGUAAUCGCCCGCGCUUCGGUGCAGGUGCUCUUACCAUGACCGGUGCCAGCAUCGGUUCUGGCGGUGGGAUAAAAGGCAGGGGAAUGUAGCUUCCUCACUGGGAGUGUUAGAGCCCCUGUCACAAUGCCACCAGUCGGGACCGAGGACUGCGCUUCAGCUAGGA
RNAcentral lists this ribosomal RNA (578 nucleotides) under Parascutellinia carneosanguinea. RNAcentral describes it as "partial large subunit ribosomal RNA". It matches the Rfam family "Eukaryotic large subunit ribosomal RNA", at positions 36 to 623 of the family's 3401-position model. Lineage: Eukaryota; Fungi; Ascomycota; Pezizomycetes; Pezizales; Pyronemataceae. The record is from RNAcentral.